AUGUCACAAUCAGUGGCCAAUUGCAACAGAUAUGUAUGUUCUUCAGGCUCUCGAUGGGGGUCCAGUGGCGAUAUUAUAAUGACUCAGACUCCACUCGCCCUGGCUGUCACCCUGGGAGAGAUCUCCUGCAGGUCAAGUCAGAGCCUCAUAAAUAGCGAUGGAGAUAGCCUUCUGUAUUGGCUCCUUCAGAAGCCUGGCCAGUCACCACAGAGAUUGAUCUAUUGGGCUUCCAAACGACCUUCUGGGGUCCCAGACAGAUUCAGUGGCAGUGGGUCAGGCACAGAUUUCACACUGCAAAUCAGCAGGGUGGAGGCUGAGGAUAUUGGCGUUUAUUACUGCAUGCAAGAUUAUACUCCUCCCACAGUGAUACAGUCCUUAACAUAA
This is a non-coding RNA of Dipodomys spectabilis (banner-tailed kangaroo rat), 384 nucleotides long. Lineage: Eukaryota; Metazoa; Chordata; Mammalia; Rodentia; Heteromyidae. The record is from the annotation of a RefSeq genome assembly.